RNAcentral lists this long non-coding RNA (1035 nucleotides) under Vulpes vulpes (red fox). RNAcentral's name for it is "lncRNA (ENSVVUG00000021500.1)". The record is from RNAcentral. Lineage: Eukaryota; Metazoa; Chordata; Mammalia; Carnivora; Canidae.
GGAAUUAAAAAAAAAUUCCAGCACCUUUUAAGCACAUAACAAUGGACAUUUACAUAACAAUAACGACAUCCUCUAGUUGUUAUUAAACACUGGAUACACUGGUCACGUACAAUGGAUUUUUGCCCAUGGUUUUCCUUUCAUUCCUUUAUUUCUUUAGUCAUUCAGAAAAUAAUGACUGUGGAUAUAGCAGGGACCUAACCAUGUAAAUAUUACUUUCUAAAGGGACACGGUUGGUUGCUUAUCUUCUCCAGAAUUGACUAUAGCAGUAUUUCUGAUUCCUGCUUCUCUCACAGAUCCUUGCCACACCUGCAUCAGGAGCUUAUGGAUUUCCCUUCCAUCGGAAACUGGCCAGGGAUUUGUAACUACAAAUCUGCAGGACUUACACACUCUGUGACAUUGAAGACAAAAUUGUAAGAGGCAAAGCAACUUCUCUCCUCACUUGCUUUGGAGUCCUGAGCCUCCACGUAGGCCCCUUGGCCGUGCUAACACGGUCCUGCAGGGGAGAGCACACACGGUCACAGAAGGUAGCUGGACACGGCUUGCUCCAGCCCCAGGGUGUUUCAGUCUUCAGGUGCAGGGCAUGCAUGAUUCUGAGCCCCAGCCACCAUGUACCCGUGUCAGAUUCUGACAGAAAACUCAGCAGUAACCCCAGUCAACCUUCAGAUUCAGGAACAAAACAAUGAUGCUUAUUGUUUUCUUAAGACGUCAUUUUGGAGUAAUAUGCUAGGCAAUAGUUGUUUCCCGUGGGAGGAUAAGGCUAGUCCUAUAACUCCAUGUUGAUCAGAAGUACAAAGCUUUCAUUAAGUUAUUAAAGGGUUACUUUUUGGGGCACCUGAUUGUCUCAGUCAACAAAGCGUCUGCCUUCAGCUCAGGUCAUGAGUCUAGAGUCCUAGGAUGGAGCCUCCAGGUCAGUCUCCCUGCUAAGUGGGGGGAAGUCCUCUUCUCCCUCUCUGCUCCCCUCAUCCUGUCCUUGCUCAUGCUCUCUUGCUCUCUUUCUCUUCAAAUAAAUAAAAUAAAAUAAAGGAUUACCUUGCA